Molecule: non-coding RNA, 181 nt
Organism: Pelobates cultripes (western spadefoot toad)
Lineage: Eukaryota; Metazoa; Chordata; Amphibia; Anura; Pelobatidae
Source: the annotation of a GenBank genome assembly
AUGGAUAAAACAUAGAAAGAAUAUCCAGUAUCAAUGGAUAUAGUGAUAUUAAUGUAAACAUAUAUAUAAAUACUUUGCAGUCAAAACCUUAUGGGUUACUAUUAUAUAUAUUUAUUUAUAUGUUUACAUUAAUAUCACUAUAUCCAUUGAUAUUGGGUAUUCUUUCUAUGUUCUAUCCGAU